UUGAAUGCAAACAUCACAGAGAAGUUUCUGAGAAUGCUUCUGUCUAGUUUUUAUUUAUAGAUAUUUCCUUUUCCACCAUAGGCCUCAAAGCUCUCCAACAGUCAACUUGCAGAUUCUACAAAAAAAGUGUUUCAAACCUGCUCUAUCAAAAGAAAGGUUCAAUUCUGUGAGUGGAAUGCACACAUCACAAAGAAGUUUCUGAGAACGAUUCUGUCUAGUGUUUAUGUGAAGAUAUCUCCUUUUCCAAUGAAGGCCUCAAAGUUGUUCAAAUAUCCACUUGCAGAUUCUACAAAAAGAGUGUUUCAAACCUGCUCUAUCAAAAGAAAGCUUCAACUCUGUGAGUUGAAUGCACACAUCACAAAGAAGUUUCUGAAAUGCUUCUAUCUAGUGUUUAUUUGAAGAUAUUCCCGUUUCCAACGAAGGCUUCAAAGCAUUCCAAAUAUCCACUUGCAGAUUCUGCAAAAAGAGUGCUUCAAAACUGCUCUAUGAAGAGGCCUCAAAGCUUGCCAUAUGUCCACUUGAAGAUUCUGCAAAAAGACGGUUUCAAACCUGCUCUAUGAAAAGAAAGGUUCAACUCUGUGAGUUGAAUGCACACAUCACAAAGGAGUUGUUGAGAAUGCUUCUGUCUAGUGUUUAUGUGAAGAUAAUCCCGUUGCCAAGGAAGGCCUCAAAGCAGUGCAAAUAUCCACUCUCAGAUUCUACUAAAAGAGUGUUUCAAAAGUGCUCUAUGAUAAGGUAUGUUCAACUCUGUAAAUUGAAUGCACACAUCAUAAGAACUUUCUGAGAAUGCUUCUGUCUGGUUUUUAUGGGAAGAUAUUUCCUUUUCCAC
RNAcentral lists this long non-coding RNA (829 nucleotides) under Homo sapiens (human). RNAcentral's name for it is "HSALNT0352046". Lineage: Eukaryota; Metazoa; Chordata; Mammalia; Primates; Hominidae. The record is from RNAcentral.